RNAcentral lists this ribosomal RNA (445 nucleotides) under uncultured bacterium. Its description in RNAcentral is "partial 16S ribosomal RNA". It matches the Rfam family "Bacterial small subunit ribosomal RNA", at positions 354 to 796 of the family's 1533-position model. The record is from RNAcentral.
GUAAGGAAUAUUGGACAAUGGACGCAAGUCUGAUCCAGCCAUGCCGCGUGAAGGAUUAAGGUCCUCUGGAUUGUAAACUUCUUUUAUAAGGGACGAAAAAAGGCUUUUCUAAGUCGUCUGACGGUACCUUAUGAAUAAGCACCGGCUAACUCCGUGCCAGCAGCCGCGGUAAUACGGAGGGUGCAAGCGUUAUCCGGAUUCACUGGGUUUAAAGGGUGCGUAGGCGGGCAGGUAAGUCAGUGGUGAAAUCCUAGAGCUUAACUCUAGAACUGCCAUUGAUACUAUCUGUCUUGAAUAUUGUGGAGGUAAGCGGAAUAUGUCAUGUAGCGGUUAAAUGCUUAGAUAUGACAUAGAACACCUAUUGCGAAGGCAGCUUACUACGCAUAUAUUGACGCUGAGGCACGAAAGCGUGGGGAUCAAACAGGAUUAGAAACCCUAGUAGUCC